AACGCGAAGAACCUUACCCAGGUUUGACAUACAGUGGAAGUUAGCAGAAAUGUUAACGCUCUUCGGAGCCGCUGAACAGGUGCUGCAUGGCUGUCGUCAGCUCGUGCCGUGAGGUGUUGGGUUAAGUCCCGCAACGAGCGCAACCCUUAUCAUUAGUUGCCAACACGUAAUGGUGGGAACUCUAAUGAGACUGCCCGGGUUAACCGGGAGGAAGGUGAGGAUGACGUCAAGUCCGCAUGGCCCUUACAUCUGGGGCUACACACGUGCUACAAUGGUCGGUACAGAGGGAAGCGAAACCGCGAGGCGAAGCAAAUCCCAUAAAGCCGGCCCCAGUUCAGAUUGUAGUCUGCAACUCGACUACAUGAAGCCGGAAUUGCUAGUAAUGGCGAGUCAGCAACAUCGCCGUGAAUACGUUCCCGGGCCUUGUACACACCGGUACUA
RNAcentral lists this ribosomal RNA (441 nucleotides) under uncultured bacterium. Its description in RNAcentral is "bacterial SSU rRNA". It matches the Rfam family "Bacterial small subunit ribosomal RNA", at positions 958 to 1398 of the family's 1533-position model. The record is from RNAcentral.